AAAUUGAAGAGUUUGAUCAUGGCUCAGAUUGAACGCUGGCGGCAGGCCUAACACAUGCAAGUCGAGCGGUAGCACAGAGAGCUUGCUCUCGGGUGACGAGCGGCGGACGGGUGAGUAAUGUCUGGGAAACUGCCUGAUGGAGGGGGAUAACUACUGGAAACGGUAGCUAAUACCGCAUAAUGUCGCAAGACCAAAGUGGGGGCCCUUCGGGCCUCAUGCCAUCAGAUGUGCCCAGAUGGGAUUAGCUAGUAGGUGGGGUAACGGCUCACCUAGGCGACGAUCCCUAGCUGGUCUGAGAGGAUGACCAGCCACACUGGAACUGAGACACGGUCCAGACUCCUACGGGAGGCAGCAGUGGGGAAUAUUGCACAAUGGGCGCAAGCCUGAUGCAGCCAUGCCGCGUGUGUGAAGAAGGCCUUCGGGUUGUAAAGCACUUUCAGCGGGGAGGAAGGCGAUAAGGUUAAUAACCUU
Molecule: ribosomal RNA, 471 nt
Filed under: Klebsiella pneumoniae
Lineage: Bacteria; Pseudomonadati; Pseudomonadota; Gammaproteobacteria; Enterobacterales; Enterobacteriaceae
Description: bacterial SSU rRNA
Rfam family: Bacterial small subunit ribosomal RNA
Source: RNAcentral